CUACGGGAGGCUGCAGUGGGGAAUAUUGGACAAUGGGGGCAACCCUGAUCCAGCCAUGCCGCGUGUGUGAAGAAGGCCCUCGGGUUGUAAAGCACUUUCAGUGAGGAAGAACGCCUGGUGGUUAAUACCCAUCAGGAAAGACAUCACUCACAGAAGAAGCACCGGCUAACUCCGUGCCAGCAGCCGCGGUAAUACGGAGGGUGCGAGCGUUAAUCGGAAUUACUGGGCGUAAAGCGCGCGUAGGUGGCUUGAUAAGCCGGUUGUGAAAGCCCCGGGCUCAACCUGGGAACGGCAUCCGGAACUGUCAAGCUAGAGUGCAGGAGAGGAAGGUAGAAUUCCCGGUGUAGCGGUGAAAUGCGUAGAGAUCGGGAGGAAUACCAGUGGCGAAGGCGGCCUUCUGGACUGACACUGACACUGAGGUGCGAAAGCGUGGGUAGCAAACAGGAUUAGAUACCCGAGUAGUC
This 464-nucleotide ribosomal RNA is filed under the name Vreelandella stevensii. RNAcentral's name for it is "partial 16S ribosomal RNA". It matches the Rfam family "Bacterial small subunit ribosomal RNA", at positions 339 to 795 of the family's 1533-position model. Lineage: Bacteria; Pseudomonadati; Pseudomonadota; Gammaproteobacteria; Oceanospirillales; Halomonadaceae. The record is from RNAcentral.